Molecule: ribosomal RNA, 450 nt
Filed under: uncultured bacterium
Lineage: Bacteria
Description: partial 16S ribosomal RNA
Rfam family: Bacterial small subunit ribosomal RNA
Source: RNAcentral
GUGGGGAAUUUUGGACAAUGGGCGCAAGCCUGAUCCAGCAAUGCCGCGUGCAGGAAGAAGGCCUUCGGGUUGUAAACUGCUUUUGUACGGAACGAAACGGUCCGGGUUAAUACCCUGGGCUAAUGACGGUACCGUAAGAAUAAGCACCGGCUAACUACGUGCCAGCAGCCGCGGUAAUACGUAGGGUGCAAGCGUUAAUCGGAAUUACUGGGGGUAAAGCGUGCGCAGGCGGUGCUGUAAGACAGGCGUGAAAUCCCCGGGCUCAACCUGGGAAUUGCGCUUGUGACUGCAGUGCUGGAGUGCGGCAGAGGGGGAUGGAAUUCCGCGUGUAGCAGUGAAAUGCGUAGAUAUGCGGAGGAACACCGAUGGCGAAGGCAAUCCCCUGGGCCUGCACUGACGCUCAUGCACGAAAGCGUGGGGAGCAAACAGGAUUAGAAACCCUGGUAGUCC